GUGGUUGGCUUCUGCACAACAAAAUGGAGAAGACAGAAAAAGCCCACUGUCUGGUCCUCUUCUGUCCAAUCCAAGGCCACAUUAAUCCCAUGCUCCAAUUCUCCAAGCGUUUAGAGUACAAAGGACUCAGGGUCACAUUGAUCACUACCCGCUCUGUUCACAAGGCCACGCAUGAAGGAGGAGGAGAACAAUCUACAACAUCAUUCUCUUCCAUUGCAUUGGAGACCAUUUCUGAUGGCUUUGAUGGAGAAGGUGGGAGUGCCCAAGCAGAGAGCAUCCAGGCCUACAGGGACCGUGUUCGGGAAAUCGGCUCACAGACUUUGGCUGAGCUCAUUGACAAGCUCUCUGCCUCAGGCCACCCUGCGGAUUGUCUAGUUUAUGAUCCAGUUUUUCCUUGGGCUCUUGAUGUGGCCAAAAGGGUUGGGAUUGCUGCGGCUGCUUUCUUCACUGUAUCUUGUGCUGUUACCAACAUAUACUCACUUGUCCAUGAUGGGCUGCUCAAACUUCCUCUCAAUCCUGACUCUGAGAUUUUGCUGCCUGGAUUGCCACCUCUUCAACCUUCAGACACCCCAUCUUUCAUCUAUGUUCCUGAAUCUUACCCUGCUUUCCUUAAACUGUCUGUAGAUCUGUUCUCUAAUCUUUGCAAAGCUGAUUGGGUCUUCUGCAACACAUUUUAUGAGCUGGAACAAGAGGUAAACAAAAUUGACGAGGUGGUUUUCGGUUCCAAAUUAAUUCAUUCUCUUGAAAGUUAACGCGCAAAACACUGCUAGAGUCACCAAAUUUGUUCACCAAAUUAAUUAUCUGUCACUACAUGCAUCACUACCCUACAAAAUUAAUGGCUAUGACGAUCUUAUGAUUUAUGUGUGAAGUCUCCAAAUAUUAAUGACUUCUUUGACCAUAAUUAUGAUUCAACUUGCUGUUUUAUUUUUCUCUCCUUUUACGCAUAGGUGAUAGAAUAUUGGAUGACAAAGUUUUCGACAUUAAGGACGAUUGGACCAACCAUACCAUCUAUGUACCUGGAUAAGCGUCAUGAAGACAACAAGGAAUAUGGUCUCAGCCUCUUUAAGCUAAACAGUGAUGCCUGCAUGAAAUGGUUAAAUGCAAAGCCAAAAGGGUCUGUAGCAUACAUGUCGUUCGGCAGUAUUGCAGAACAGGGAGAAGAGCAAAUGAAGGAAUUGGGUUUGGGUUUGAAGAGAAGCAAACGCUAUUUCUUGUGGGUGGUGAGGACAUCAGAAUCAGUUAAGCUGCCAAAAGGGUUUGCAGAGGAGACAUCUGAGAAGGGUUUGGUGGUUUCAUGGUGCCCUCAAUUGGAAGUUUUGGCACAUGAGGCUGUAGGAUGCUUUGUCACACACUGUGGUUGGAACUCUACAUUGGAGGCCUUGAGUUUGGGAGUUCCAAUGGUGGCAGUGCCACAAUGGGCUGACCAGAGCACCAAUGCCAAGUUCAUCAUGGAUGUGUGGAAAAUAGGGCUUAAAGCUCAAGCUGAUGAGAAAGGGAUAGUGAGAGGAGAAGAAAUAGCAAAUUGUGUGAGAGAAAUAUUGGAUGGGGAGAGAGGGAAGGAGAUUCGAAAGAACGCUUCGAAUUGGAAAGCAUUGGCCAAGAGUGCAGUGGAUGAAGGUGGAAGUUCUGAUAAAAACAUUGAUGAGUUCAUUGCAAAACUGGUUCAGAAUUAGAACUAGCUAGGCAAAGCUGUGGUGUAUUUCUGAAAAAAAAUUCCUUGUACAAGUCCUCUUGUCAAAAAUGUUAUUAGGGACUGAUUAAUAAUUUCCAUGACUAAUCAUUUUUAAACGUCAGAAA
RNAcentral lists this long non-coding RNA (1797 nucleotides) under Prunus dulcis (almond). The record is from RNAcentral. Lineage: Eukaryota; Viridiplantae; Streptophyta; Magnoliopsida; Rosales; Rosaceae.